This 253-nucleotide ribosomal RNA is filed under the name uncultured bacterium. Its description in RNAcentral is "partial 16S ribosomal RNA". It matches the Rfam family "Bacterial small subunit ribosomal RNA", at positions 524 to 776 of the family's 1533-position model. The record is from RNAcentral.
UACGAAGGUGGCAAGCGUUGUUCGGAUUUACUGGGCGUACAGGGAGCGUAGGCGGUUGGAUAAGCCCUCCGUGAAAUCUCCAGGCUUAACCUGGAAAGUGCAGAGGGGACUGUUCAGCUAGAGGAUGGGAGAAGAGCGCGGAAUUCCCGGUGUAGCGGUGAAAUGCGUAGAGAUCGGGAGGAAGGCCGGUGGCGAAGGCGGCGCUCUGGAACAUUUCUGACGCUGAGGCUCGAAAGCGUGGGGAGCAAACAGG